Molecule: long non-coding RNA, 1534 nt
Organism: Chroicocephalus ridibundus (black-headed gull)
Lineage: Eukaryota; Metazoa; Chordata; Aves; Charadriiformes; Laridae
Exons: 3
Source: RefSeq, a predicted model, not a curated record
AUGCCAAGUAAAAAUGAAGUGGGUGGAGGGAAAAAAGCAUAAUAAAUAAUGAAAGAUGUUUAUAACAUUAAAUAAUGAAAGAUGAAUAAUGAAUCAGAGUCCUUAGGUAAUCAAAAUACUUAAGCCGUAAAGAUAUCAAAAAGAAAUAAGCUCUGUCCAUAUCUCAGGACUAUGUAUCUCACAGUUAUAUUGCUAUGAAGAAAGAGUGUUCUGUACAAGUAUCUGUGCAGAAUUGCUACAAUCUCAGUGUAUGCUAUGGUCCAAUAUUGUCUCCUAGAGUCAAAAAUUAAUUAUGAGUUAAUAUUUUCAGAGUGUUGUUGUGGGUUAGAAGGCUUAGUUAAAUAAUAGCUGGACUCCAGUGUAUUUCUUACAUUGCUUUCAUCUCAUCUUUCACCUCUCUUUUCUUCCCCGAGGCUAAUGCAUGGAAUAUUAAAAAUACAACAAGUCUCAAAUUCAGAGGAGUCUAUCUUUGCUAAUACUGUAGCAGGCAAAUAUAUGGGGCAAAUAAACUGGACCAUCAGCUUAGUAUUUAACUCAGAAAAUCUACUUUCCUAGAUACUAAUUUUCACCCAAAAGCUUUGUGAGCCUGCAGCAAUAUUAAAAAAUGCAUUUUUUCCAAUCUACUUGAAUUGAAAUUCUUUGGUUUUGUCAUAUAGCAGCAGUUAUCAAGUCCUUAUCUCCUGAAUCACGUUAAUUUUGCUUACAAUAGAGUCACCUUCUUCUGCUCGGUUUUGGCAAGUAUUUACGUGAGCCACAAAUUUGAGUCCGAUAAGUCUCACAGUGAAGAGCUACGUGCACUUUUCCCUCCAAAUUAGAUGCCGGGCAAGUUCCAUCCAGACAAUUACCGUGUUCGUUUUGGUCAGUAAGUCCUGGGUUUUAGUUAUACUAGGCACUUUUAUCUCAGUGCGAUACCAUAUCAUCUGUGAUUGGCAGCAUUACAACCAUGUAGCGAGGGCUGCAGAGCUCUUCCUUAAAGCAUGAACGGCCUUUACCCAGCCUGCCGCAGACGUACUGGCUUCUCGGCUGCUCCCAGCCCUUCUGAAUGCCUCUCGUGAAGGUGACUCCAUUUGUGAGAACGGGAGGGUCGUCUGCAGUGAAGGUUUCUGGGAGGACCCUUCUCUAAAUGGGUCACAGACACUUCUGACAGGGGCUCAGAGACUCAGGGAGCUGACGGCUGGCGUGGGAGGAAAGGUGAACUCUUCUAGGGCAAUAGUUAGAGCGCGUUUAUGUUCCUGCAGCCACGUCACAGUGUCCGAGAGCUCACUCUAGCAGACAGAGAGACAGCAUUGAACUUCAUAGCAGGGAAGCAGCACGGGGACCUUUAAACCAGGCUGGCAGUUUGUGGAGCUGAUAAAAUGGCACAGGCGCCUUCUACCUGCCUGCUUUCACCACCGAGUCCUAUGAUAAACUGUGUUCACUCACCUCCUCAUAAAGAUGCUAUGCUGUUACACUGCAGGACAACACAUUUCAAAGGGGACAUUAAACCUUGUUCUUCAGGGACUAGACAGUCUCUGAAUAGCUCUGGUUGCUCCUG